Molecule: non-coding RNA, 4398 nt
Organism: Equus caballus (horse)
Lineage: Eukaryota; Metazoa; Chordata; Mammalia; Perissodactyla; Equidae
Source: RefSeq, a predicted model, not a curated record
CAGAGCCUCUGGAGGGAGCACGGCGCUGCCAACGCCUUGAUUUCAGACUUCUGGCCUCCAGAACCGUGAGAGGAUAAAUGUGUGUUGUUUUAAGCCCCCAGUUUAUGGUGCUUUGUUGCAGUGGCCCCAGGAUGCUAGCAUAGCUUCCUUAUCUGCGUAGCAGGUGUCAGUGGCACGUUCAUCCAAGGCCGUUGUGAGGUUGUAAUGAGUCAGUCCUGGGGAGCCCUUAGCCCACUGCCUGGCACAUGCUGAGCACUCAAAGUGUGGUGGUCGUUUAAAGUCAGACUUUGGAGUCAGACAAACCUGGUUGGCAUCCCCACAUGCUGGCUGUGGGACCCCUGGUAAUGUAUUUAGUCUCUCCAAGCCUCAUUGCCUCGCCGGCGAAAAGGAGAGACUACUGUCCGCCUUGCAUGGUGUUAGUGACCGUUUAAUAAAAGAAAGCUCCUUCCUUUCGCCUUCCCUCAUGCCUUGACUGUUGUUAGAGUGAAACCCAGGAGUAACUCGUUGGCCGCUGAUGUCGGCAGGCAAGGCCAUUCGAGAAGGGGAGGAAUCGUGUCUCCUCUUUCCUGGCUUGACGGUUGAUGAUGCUGGAGGUGGUGGGAUUGUUGUGAACACCAGGACAGGCGUGCAGAAUCACAACAGAGUCUUUGACAAACCUGCAACUGGGUGUUGCCACUCAAAGUAGUCACCCUUGAGAGACUACCCUAUGCCCGUGACACUCAGAAUGUUCUGGCAAGACUCUGAUGGUGGGCCAUAGAGGCGUUUAUGAACCACAUCUUUAAAACAGCACAAAAACGGACUCCCAGAACACACACUCCCCACUGGCCCGGCCAGGCUCUGCAGAUCUGCGACGAUGACAACUUCCAGAGCUCAGCUCGGCCUCUGGGGGCACAUCUUUGCUCAGGAGCAGCCAGGUAUGUUUUUAAUACCAGUGAUAUCAAUAUGGAUCUUAAAGCUACCAUAAAUAAAGCAGUUUGGGCUGAUGCGAAGGCAGACAUAAGUAGAUCGAUGGACCCAAAUGGCAAGUCCAGAAACAGCCAUGAGUCUGUGGAAUUUUAGAAUGUUAUAAACAAAGCAUUUUAGUAGAAGUGAGGACAACAGAUUAUCUAAUAAAUGGUAUUAGGACAGCUAGCUGAGCUGUUUGAAGAAAUAGCAUAAUUCCAGAAACAUUAGAGAUCUAAGCAUUGUUUGAAAUUAUUUUUAAUUGUUAUUGUAUCAGAUGAAAAUAUGGGAAAACUACAUCAUCUCCACUCCACAGGUAGAGGAGGUGCUCAGAACAUGGCAGGAGCUCAGGAGCCAUAAAGAAAAAGAUUGACUCCCUGGACUACGUGACAGUGUCAGACACAAAAGACACAUGGUUCACCAGGAGAGAUAACCAACAACAUACGGAACACCAAGAUCAUAGCCGUAAUAUAUAAAAAAACUUCUGCAAAUCAAUAAGAAAAAGACAAACUACCCAAAAGACAGAUGAGCAAAGAAUAUAGACAAGCCAUACAAGAAGGAAAAAAUGUAAAGGAGCAGCUAGAAGCCUCUAGAAAGAGUAGAGGAGGGUACAAGUGACAUUGGCCACAAUGAUUAUCUAAAGUAAUCAGUGGAGAGAUACCCCAUUAGCACCUCGCUAGUGAUCAUAAAAUUGCAAAUUAAAAUAUGAGAUAGCAUCUUACUGUAAUCUAGGUUAAAAACAUAAAAAAUUUAUAGUUCUUUGCCUACAGUGUAGUGGAAAGGGCACACAUACUCUGUUGGUAGGAAUGCCGACAUAUUGUUGGAAGGCAAUUAGGUAAUAUUAAAAUGUAAAAUUCUGUAUUUGACCAAACAAUUCCCCUUUUAGGAACCUACUCAAGAGAGAAACAUUUGUGUAUGUGCAAGGCUGUACUUACAGGCAUGUUCAUUGCGCCAUUGCUUAUAACAGCAACAAAUGGGGAACGACAUGAAUGUCCUAUCAACGUGGGGCCACUGAGUCAGUCAUGCAACGUGUACAAGGGCAAAUGCGACUCUCUGUUUCUGGUUGUGGAGGGAGGGUCAUGACUCACGGCUGAGUGAUAAAGGCAUGUGAUAAAACAUCAGGAAUGGUCAAUACUGUUUUAUAAAACAAAUUUUUUAAUCAAGUGUACAAUUGUGGAAGAAAAUCUGCCAUCAUAUUUGCAUGGCGAUAGCUCGCUGGAAAGAGCUGGAGAGAAUUGCUUUGGGGUGUGUGCAUUGUAUUGCUUUCCAGCGUUCAACUUCUGUAAAUCAUAUGCAUUUGUUAUAUAACUGGGGAAAAAAUCCAUGAUUCCAUCUUAAAGAUGUAUAUGUAUUUACACAUAUAUGUGUAUAUUAUGUCUAUUUUUUAAAAAAAAAGAGCAUCUGUGGAGCAAGGUGCUCCAGCGAGCGUCUCAACAUGAGGAAUCGUGAAUAACUGCAUUUCCUUCUCUGUGCUGACCUGUAUGUUCUAAAUUUGUGCAAUGGAAACGCAUCAUGUUUGUAAUGAUAAAAACCCAGUGUAUCUCCCGGAUGAAGAGGCCCUGACUGGUGCAGGAAGGGGACAGCACUGGCGAUGGCAAUCUCAUCUCACAGUUGGCGUCUCUCCCCUGACCGGCUGCUGGCCAGACUCCUGCCGUCCACUUGCAGGGCAUCUGAGUGAGGAUACCCCAGGGAGCUGUCACAGCACAGGUUUCCUGGCAGAGGAGGUAGACCGUGUAGAGGGCAGGCUGCGAGGAGGGGACAGGACCUCCCCCAGGGCUCCAGCUGCGUAGACAGCAGAUGCCUUCUGUUCUCGAGGUGGGACCUCCAUCGUCUGUCCUUGUUCCUCGGGGACCGUGAGGACAGAGGGCAGGUGGGCACCUCAGCCCGGCAGAGCAGGCCCGAGGCUGGCACAGAGAAGCCUGACUCCUCAUCUCAGCAUCCCUGUGUUUUACAUAAUUAGGGCCGCGGGCCUGGCUUCAUCAAGGAGACACGGCCGUCAGUAGACAGGCUGUCCUGAGCCCUGGGCUGGCCGGCAGCACCUCCCACACUGCUUUACCGGGUGAGGCGGCGUGGGGACAAGGAUGAGUGAACUGGCUGGGGCCCCCUGCCUCGCUACCCCAGGACCUCGGGGAACCAGGAAGCCCUGGGAAUGGGCCAAGAUGGCCUGAGGGCUGGGGCUCCAGGUCGUGAAGCACCCACAAGCUGGUCGUGGCUGGGGCCCAGGUGUGGCCAGCCCUGACAUGGCCUCUGGGACUGGCCGUGACUGGCUGGGCAGCAGCAAAUCUGUUUGAACCUGAGCUUUCUCUUCUCUGGCAUGGAGUAGCGUGUUGCCUUGCAGUUUCUCCAGAGGGUGGAGACAGAACCGGGAGACAUGUCGCACAGACCCGGCACACAGCAAAUCAUGCUGUUUUCCUCUUUAAAGAAUAAAUGCAAGACUUCCUGCUGGGUUGUAAGUUGCUCAAAAAAGAUAUCCACGCCCCAGAGCCAGGCAGCACUUGCCCCGAGCUCCAGGGACACAUCUGGCCACCGUGGGUGUGGACUUUCUGCUGGUGUCGUUGGCAGUAAGAUAGGCAGUUGGCUGUUCUCUUGGUGCCUUACUUCCUAAGGAUGUAUGGAGCUGUCAGCAAACCAUUAAUCUCUCUUUAAACCACGGUGACGAUAUUUACAUUUAAGAUCAAGAUGAUGAUUAUCUGAAGAACUCCCCUGGAAGCUCUCCUCCCAACUGGAAAAACACAGCAGCCUGUUAGCAGAGCCGGAUCCCGGGCCAAAAAUAACCAGAGGCUCCGGGAGAGCCACGCCUGCAGAGGUGGAGCCAGGCAGGUGAGGGGAGCACCGGCGAAGCAGCGGAAGGGAUGUCCGCCUCAAGGAGAAGGAAGCCCGAGUCACAUGGCAGGGGCUGAGCGUGCAGACCCGUCCAUGCAAACCCAACAGUCCAGACCCGACCGUGCAGACCCGACCAUGCAAACCCAACAGUCCAGACCCAACAGUGCAGACCCGACCGUGCAGACCUGACUGACUAGCUACAAGAAUACGUUUCUGAAAAGAAUUAUUUUUAAUUUAUAGAAAAAGAAUUUGUGCCCAAACAAUACAGAAAACCACCAGGGCUGAGCAGGGUGAAGAGCCCCUUUCCGAGCAUCCUGGGGACAUUUUGGCAAGUCAUUCAUUCCGAGAGUGACCUCCAGGCGGCCCCGCACCCAGUGGGGCUCCCUCUGGGUGUUUUCCAUUUCAGCAGUCUGCAGGCUGGACACUUACUUCGAUGCCUCGUGUGGUCCAGGCAGGCUGUCAGGGUCCCUGCUCUCCAAGGGCGGUCCCCAUACCUGUGCUGUGGAAACUUCUUUCUCACGGGCAUCUUCAAAAAAGUAUUUCAGGGGCCGGCCCGGUGGCACAGUGCUUAAGUUUGCACGUUCCGCUUCUCGGCGGCCCGGGGCUCACUGGUUCGGAUCCCGGGUACGGACA